Long non-coding RNA from Poecile atricapillus (Black-capped chickadee), 237 nucleotides. RefSeq lists it as uncharacterized. NCBI's taxonomy places the organism in Eukaryota, Metazoa, Chordata, Aves, Passeriformes, Paridae. The transcript is spliced from 2 exons. The record is from RefSeq and is a predicted model, not a curated record.
GCUGGGGCUGGGGCUGGGAGGAGGAGGAUGGAGAGGAGCCAGGAUCCUGCUCAAAACCGGACCCCGGGACCUCUUCGGGCUCUGGGUCCUCCUCCGUGUCCGGCUGAACCUUCAUCGCUUCGGCUGCUCUGGCCGCUCCAUCCCGGCGCUGUUCCAGGCCACGGAAUUCCCAUAAAACCCCCAAAAUUCACUCAAAAAAACCCCAAAAUUCACUCAAAAAAUUCCCAAAUUUCACUC